This 343-nucleotide unclassified non-coding RNA is filed under the name soil metagenome. RNAcentral's name for it is "partial contains 5.8S ribosomal RNA, internal transcribed spacer 2, and large subunit ribosomal RNA". The stretch from base 1 to 120 matches the Rfam family "5.8S ribosomal RNA", at positions 35 to 154 of the family's 154-position model. The record is from RNAcentral.
GAUGAAGAACGCAGCGAAAUGCGAUAAGUAGUGUGAAUUGCAGAAUUCAGUGAAUCAUCGAAUCUUUGAACGCACAUUGCGCCCGCCAGCAUUCUGGCGGGCAUGCCUGUUCGAGCGUCAUUUCAACCCUCGACCUCCCCUUGGGGAGGUCGGCGUUGGGGACCGGCAGCACACCGCCGGCCCUGAAAUGGAGUGGCGGCCCGUCCGCGGCGACCUCUGCGCAGUAAUACAGCUCGCACCGGGACCCCGACGCGGCCACGCCGUAAAACACCCAACUUCUGAACGUUGACCUCGAAUCAGGUAGGACUACCCGCUGAACUUAAGCAUAUCAAUAAGCGGAGGA